GUUUUGAUAUUGUUGUUGUUUGUUUGUUUUUUGAUACAGUGAUCAAGAAAAUACACAUACAUGAGUGAUCCAUGUUUUCAUAAAGAAAGAAACCUAAGCGAAAAAAGAAAAAUCACAGAUCUUUUAAAAUCUUGAGUUUCGAAGAUGAUUAGAAGAGUGAGGACAAGCCACAGUACUACAAAUAUGGCAAACAAAUGUCUUCCCUGCCCAGCUGAGUCAGUCAAGUGACAAGAACCACUGUAGAAGAAAUGAAAGACUUUGAUCACCAUGUAAGUGAAGUGAUUUAAACUUCCUUAUUUUCGCACCAACUUCUAGCUGUCACUCUCAUUCCCUGCUCUUUCUCAGUAGGCUUUAC
Molecule: long non-coding RNA, 355 nt
Filed under: Coturnix japonica (Japanese quail)
Lineage: Eukaryota; Metazoa; Chordata; Aves; Galliformes; Phasianidae
Description: lncRNA (ENSCJPG00005003415.1)
Source: RNAcentral